RNAcentral lists this ribosomal RNA (491 nucleotides) under Eulepethus nanhaiensis. RNAcentral describes it as "partial 16S ribosomal RNA". It matches the Rfam family "Bacterial large subunit ribosomal RNA", at positions 1829 to 2597 of the family's 2925-position model. Lineage: Eukaryota; Metazoa; Annelida; Polychaeta; Phyllodocida; Eulepethidae. The record is from RNAcentral.
UGCCUCUAGAUUCUUUAUUAAAGGUACAUCCUGCCCAGUGAUUACUUCAACGGCCGCGGUACCCUGACCGUGCAAAGGUAGCAUAAUCAUUUGCCUCUUAAUUGGUGGCUAGAAUGAAUGGACAAACGAGAUUAAUUCUGUCUCCUCAAUACUCAAAUAAAUUAGUCUUCAGGUGAAGAAACCUGAAUACAAAUAAAAGACAAGAAGACCCUGUUGAGUUUCACUUACCCUAGUUAAUUCACUAACUUUACUACAUAAAGUUUGGUUGGGGCGACCAGGGAAUAAACUAAACUUCCCUAAUCAAUAAGAACAAUAUCUCCAUUACUAUGACCCUCCACCAAGAUCAAUAAAAUAAACUACCACAGGGAUAACAGGCUUAUCUUUCUAGAGAGUUCAAAUUGAUAGAAAGGUUUGGCACCUCGAUGUUGGCUUAGAGUACUCAAAUGGUGCAGCAGCCAUUAAUGAUUAGUUUGUUCAACUAUUAAAACUCU